GACGAACGCUGGCGGCGUGCUUAACACAUGCAAGUCGAACGGAAAGGCCCUGCUUUUGUGGGGUGCUCGAGUGGCGAACGGGUGAGUAACACGUGAGUAACCUGCCCUUGACUUUGGGAUAACUUCAGGAAACUGGGGCUAAUACCGGAUAGGAGCUCCUGCUGCAUGGGGGGGGUUGGAAAGUUUCGGCGGUUGGGGAUGGACUCGCGGCUUAUCCGCUUGUUGGUGGGGUAGUGGCUUACCAAGGCUUUGACGGGUAGCCGGCCUGAGAGGGUGACCGGCCACAUUGGGACUGCGAUACGGCGCAGACUCCUACGGUAGGCAGCAGUGGGGAAUAUUGCACAAUGGGCGGACGCCUGAUGCAGCAACGCCGCGUGCGGGAUGACGGCCUUCGGGUUGUAAACCGCUUUCGCCUGUGACGAAGCGUGAUUGACGGUAAUGGGUAAGGAAGCACCGGCUAACUACGUG
Molecule: ribosomal RNA, 468 nt
Filed under: uncultured bacterium
Lineage: Bacteria
Description: partial 16S ribosomal RNA
Rfam family: Bacterial small subunit ribosomal RNA
Source: RNAcentral